RNAcentral lists this ribosomal RNA (605 nucleotides) under uncultured bacterium. Its description in RNAcentral is "bacterial SSU rRNA". It matches the Rfam family "Bacterial small subunit ribosomal RNA", at positions 28 to 559 of the family's 1533-position model. The record is from RNAcentral.
GACGAACGCUGGCGUGCAUGCCUAAUACAUGCAAGUCGAUGCGGAACUUUGGUGAGCUUGCUCCCGAAGUUUAUGCGGCGGACGGGUGAGUAACACGUGGGCAACCUGCCCUGCAGAUCGGGAUAACUCCGUGGAAACCGGUGCUAAUACCGAAUAGUUUUUUUGUCCCUCCUGUGUGACGGAACGGAAAGACGGUUUCGUGCUGUCACUGCAGUGAUGUGUGCCCGCGUGCUGCAUUAGCUAGUUUGUGUUGAGGUAACGGCUCACCAAAUGCGACGAUGCGUAGCCUGACCUGGAGGAGUGGUUGAUCUGUGCCACACUGUGUGACUUGAUGACACGUGCGCCAGACUCCUACGUGGAGUGCAAGCAGGUAAGGGAAUCUUCCGCCAAUUGUGACGAAAGUCUUGACUGUGAGCAAUGCCGCGUGAGUGACGGAAGGUUUUCGGAUCUGUAAAACUCUGUUUGUAAGUGGAAGAACAAGUACCAAGUAACUACUGGUACCUUGACGUGUACCUUACCAGGAAAGGCCACGGCGUAACCUACGUGCCAAGCAGCCGCGGGUAAUACGUAAGGUUGGCAAGCGGUUGUCCUGGAACUUAUUGGGC